CCAUUUGGGCACUAUUUUAUAGAUCUUGUAGGUGUACUUUAUUCUUUUUAUUCUUUUUUUUCUUUUGUCUCUCCUGCCUCUGUAUUUUCAAAUAGCCUGUCUUCAAGCACACUAAUUCUUUCUUCUGCCUGAUCAAUUUUGCUGUUGAGAGACUCUGAGGCAUUCUUCAAUUUGUCAGUUGAAUAUUUCAGCUUUAGAAUCUCUGCUUGACUUUUAAAAAAUUAUUUCAUUCUCUUAUUAAGUUUAUCUGAUAGGAUUUUCAAUUCUUUAUGUUAUAUUGAAUUUUGCUUAGCUUUUUCACAACAGCUGUUUCGAAUUCUCUGAAAGGUCACUUAUCUCUGUCACUCUGAAAUUGUUCACUGGUGCCUUAUUCAGUUUAUUUGGUGAGAUCAUAUUUUCUGGGAUGGUCUUGAUAUUUGUGGAUGUUUAUCAAUGUCUGGGCAUUGAAGAGUUAGGUAUUUAUUCUAAUCUUCAAAGUCUGGGCUUGUUUGCACUUGUCCUUCUUGAUAAAGUUUCCCAAGUAUUCAAAGAGAAUUGAGUAUUGUGAUCUAAGUCUUUGGUCACUGCAGCCAUAACUGCAUUAGGAGGCAUGCUAAGUCCAGUAAUGCUGUGACUCUUACAGACUGGUAGAAAUACUGCCUUGGUGGCCUUCAGUAAGAUCUGAGAGAAUUUUUUGGAUUACCAGCCAGAGCCUCUUGUUUUCUUCCCUCACUCUCCCUCAAACAAACAAACAAAUGAAGUCUCUCUUUCUCUCUUUCUGCUGAGCUGCCUGGAGCUGGGGAGGAGUGACACAAGCACUCCAAAGACCACGAUCACUGCACCUGUGUUGGGUCAUUACUGAAGCCAGCAUAGUACUGGGUCUUGUCUAAGGCCUGUUGUGACUGUUGCCUGGCUACCUGAUGUUUAUUCAAGGUCCAAGAGCUCUUUAGUCACCAGGAGGUGGUGAAUCCUGCCAGGCCUGAGCUCUUUCCCUUCAGGGCAGUGGGUUCCCUUCUGACCCAGGGUAGGUCUGCAAAUGCCAUCCAGGAGCUAGUAGGGUCUGGAAUUGGGAACUUUAGAAAUCUACUUGGUGCUUUAUUUUACUGUGGCUGAGCUGGUAUCCAAGUUGUAAGACAAAGUUCUUUUUACUCUUCCCUGUUUUUUCCUCAAGCAGGAUUACCUUCCUGUGGCCACCACAGCUGAGAAUGUGCUGGGUCACACCUGAAGCCAACAUGGUACUGGGUCUCAUGCAAGGCUUGUGGCAACUACUGCCUGGCUGCUGCUAAUGUUUAUUCAAGGACCAAGGGCUCUUUAUUCACCAGGUGAUGAAUUCUGGGUCCUUCCCUUCAGGGGAGGAGGUUACUUUCUGGCCCAAGGUGGGUCUAGAAAUGUUGCCUGGAAACUAGGUCCUAGAAUGGAGGCUUCAGAACUCUGCCCUGUUACCCUAUUAGACUGUAGCUGAGCAGGCAUCCAAUUUGCAAGACAAAUGUCCUCUUUAUUCUCCCCUCUUCUGCCCUUAAGCAAAAGGAGUUUCUGCUGGAGCUGCAAGCUGUGCUGCCUGGAGUUGGGGGAGGGGUCAUGCAAGCACUCCCUUGGCUGCCCCAGCUGGUGUCUCACUGGGUUGCAUGCACUGCAAGUCCACCGGCUCCAAGCCCAGCCCAGCAUCAGGACUUGCCCAGGAAUGGUAGACUUUAUGUCUGAAACUGCCUUUUAAGUUUAUUUAGGAUUCCAGAGCACUUUAGCCUACAGUGGUGGGGCUAGCUGGAACUUAGUUUCCAACUGCUGGAAUGGAUUAUUUCCUUCUGGCUAGGGCUGAUCCAAAUGCUCUUCCAUGGGAACCUGCUGAAUUCUGUCCUGUGUUGCUUUUGGCUGUGACAGGGCAGCACUGAGUUCCAAUGCAAAGUUUCACAAUUACUUCACUCUUCCUCCUCCAAACACACGGACUCUCUCAGCACCACAAGGUACUGCUGGAGAAUGGCGGAUGAGUGGUGUAGACAACUCAAGACCAUCUUUUCUACGCUCUUCAGUGCCUCUUUCCUUGGUAGGAUGUUAAAACUAAGUACUGUGAUCACUCACCUGAUUUUUGGUUCUUAUGAAGGUGUUUUCUUGUGUGGAUAGUUGUUCAAUUUUGGUGUUCCUGCAGUAGAGACAAUCAAUGGAGGGUUCUGUUCAACUCUCUUGGGCCACCUUCUCCAAUCCUGUUCUACUUAAUGUAUCUUGGCAAACUUUCCAUAUCAGUACAGAGAAAGCUUCUUCAUUCUGACUGCUGCAUAGUAUCCCAGUGCUUGAAGGUAGCAUGAUUAAUUUAGCCAUCCAAUUCAUAGGCACAGGUUAUUUGGGUUGCUUUCUAUUACUUGUAAUUACAAACAGUGCUAUUCUGUUAUAUCUUGAACAUAUAUUUUUGUGCACAUUAUAGAAAAUGUCAAAGUGAUUUUCAUGUAGGUUGUUCCAGUGAAUGAGAGUUCUUAUUUUGUCACAUACUUGGCAACCCUGAGAUUAUCAAUACGAUUUAAAUCUGUCUGCCAAACAGAUAGGUUUGUAAAAAUGUACUUUAUUGUUUUAAUGUGAAUUUCUUUGAUUAUAAGUAACAAUUAAGAAUAUUUCCAAAUAUUUGUGAACCAUUUUUCUUUUUUUGUGAGCUGCCUUUUCUUGUCCUUUGUUCAUUUUAAAUCGGGUUGUUUUAGCCUCUUUUAAAUUGAUUUUUAAAACUUGUUAUAUAUUAAUGAUAUGAUUUAGGUUUGUGUCCCCACUCAAAUCUCAUGUCGAAUUGUAAUCCCCAAUGUUGGAGGAGGGGUCUGGUGGGAGGUGAUUGGAUCAUAGGGGCAGAUUUCCCCCUUGCUGUUCUCAUGCUAGUGAAUGAGUUCUCACAAGAUUUGGUUGUUUAAAAGUGUAGCACCUCCCACUUUGCUCUCUUCCUCCUUCUCUGGCCAUGUAAGAUGUGCCUGCUUCCCCUUUGCCUUCUGCCAUGAUUCUAAGUCUCCUGAGGCCUCCCCAGCCAUGCUUCCUGUACAGCCUGUAAACUGUGAGCCAAUUAAACCUCUUUUAUUUAUAAAUUGUCCAGUCUCAGGUAGUUCUUUAUAUAGCAAUGUGAGAACGGACUAAUACAAUUAAGG
RNAcentral lists this long non-coding RNA (3092 nucleotides) under Homo sapiens (human). RNAcentral describes it as "HSALNT0314958". Lineage: Eukaryota; Metazoa; Chordata; Mammalia; Primates; Hominidae. The record is from RNAcentral.